Long non-coding RNA from Acipenser ruthenus (sterlet), 1442 nucleotides. RefSeq lists it as uncharacterized. The transcript has 3 exons. The record is from RefSeq and is a predicted model, not a curated record. NCBI's taxonomy places the organism in Eukaryota, Metazoa, Chordata, Actinopteri, Acipenseriformes, Acipenseridae.
GGGGUCCUUGUGCUGCUGGUACUGCUGAUAGGAGGAGUGCUGAAGUGUCUGCAAUCCAAACGAGAUCCUGCUGUCCAGACUGAACCUGUAUACGCCACGGUGAAUCAGCCCAAACAGCCUUCAAAGCAACAGGACGACACAAUCACCUACUCAGAAAUAAACACUGCCCAUGUCACCAAGAAGAAACCCAGCUCUGCACCUGAUGAAGACACUGUAACAUACGCAAGAGUUAGAAUUUCCACAUACUGAAAACCACUGGGGAAAAUUAAUAAAAAAAAAAUAACUGAAUAGUCAAUGCAAUAAAAUGGUCUUUCCCUUUUAUCUACGGACUCUCUGCUUUCAUACCUACCAAAACGAUCAUACAGAGUCCGAUCAGAGGGACACACUUUAGUUCUUGUCCCAGAACUGACAAACCAUUGGAGAUAUAAAUUAUCUAUGAGACUGUGGUGGAAUGUGUCAAACAAUAGAAGACACAUUGAUAGCACUUCCAUCAAUGCUGGCAGGCAAACAUUUCUAUGAAACCUUCUGCACAGGUUCUAGUGUUUAAAGAGCUAGUAGUAUACUGUGUGUUUCCCUGUAGGAGUGUGGGAUUCUUAAUCAAAGCUAACACACAAUGCAUUUCUUAAUCAACAAGUUUGUUUAGUACCAUUUAGCCAACCUGACCUCUCUCUCCCAAUCUGUUAAUUUAUUGCAGAAUCAGCCCAAGCAGCCUUCAAAGCAACAGGACGACACACUCACCUACUCAGAAAUAAACACUGCCCGUGUCACCAAGAAGAAACCCAGCUCUGCACCUGAUGAAGACACUGUAACAUAUGCAGCAGUUAAGACUAAAGUUUGGUAUGGUAGCAAUGGUAAUCUAAUGUAAAUUCAUAGCAUAGGCCUGGGAAAAGAAAUGGAAACUAGAAAAAUUACAUCUUGAAUCAUUCCAGGUCUAUCAUGUUAUAUACAGUGUGUGUCAGGUUAGAAACAUUGUGUGUAGUUUGGUAGGCUCAACUUAGCCCCUUUAAUAAACAUUCAUUAUCAAGCAAUUCUGCACAAUUGCCAGUGUGCUUGAGAGAGGCCCAGGACUGAAUGUCCAGCUUGUAAGUUGUUUAGAAUUGUAAAUGGUAUUCUUUUCUUUCAAAAGAACUUAAUAAAGGCUUUCAGAACCAAAUCUGUUGUGCUAUAAAUGAAAGUAAUACAGUGCUCCCUCGCUAUAAGGCUCUCGGUUAUAAUGCGCCUUGGAUAUAACAACUUCUCAGUCUAACUUCUGUUUCUGUCUCUCCCUAAAUAUUAGGCCUAUUACAUGGUUAUCUUUCCUAAUGUAUUUACUUUUUUGAUGUGAGAGUAGCUGCGGCUUUCUCUGGGAGACAAGACACUUCAGCUUUGCUUCAGCCCCGCUCCAGCAGCCGAACCUGGGGCAAGCCCAUUGCCUCUUCCACACGCCCGACCUGCUCUCCUUC